CACAUGCAAGUCGAACGAUGAUCCGGUGCUUGCACCGGGGAUUAGUGGCGAACGGGUGAGUAACACGUGAGUAACCUGCCCUUGACUCUGGGAUAAGCCUGGGAAACCGGGUCUAAUACCGGAUAUGACUGCCGGCCGCAUGGCCUGGUGGUGGAAAGCUUUAUUGCGGUUUUGGAUGGACUCGCGGCCUAUCAGCUUGUUGGCGGGGUAAUGGCCCACCAAGGCGACGACGGGUAGCCGGCCUGAGAGGGUGACCGGCCACACUGGGACUGAGACACGGCCCAGACUCCUACGGGAGGCAGCAGUGGGGAAUAUUGCACAAUGGGCGCAAGCCUGAUGCAGCGACGCCGCGUGAGGGAUGAAGGCCUUCGGGUUGUAAACCUCUUUCAGUAGGGAAGAAGCGAAAGUGACGGUACCUGCAGAAGAAGCGCCGGCUAACUACGUGCCAGC
Molecule: ribosomal RNA, 450 nt
Filed under: Arthrobacter sp.
Lineage: Bacteria; Bacillati; Actinomycetota; Actinomycetes; Micrococcales; Micrococcaceae
Description: bacterial SSU rRNA
Rfam family: Bacterial small subunit ribosomal RNA
Source: RNAcentral